CCUGGCUCAGGAUGAACGCUAGCGGCAGGCUUAACACAUGCAAGUCGAGGGGUAGAGUUCUUCGGAGCUUGAGACCGGCGCACGGGUGCGUAACGCGUAUGCAAUCUACCUUUUACAGAGGGAUAGCCCAGAGAAAUUUGGAUUAAUACCUCAUAGUAUAAUUGAAUGGCAUCAUUUAAUUAUUAAAGUCACAACGGUAAAAGAUGAGCAUGCGUCCCAUUAGCUAGUUGGUAAGGUAACGGCUUACCAAGGCUACGAUGGGUAGGGGUCCUGAGAGGGAGAUCCCCCACACUGGUACUGAGACACGGACCAGACUCCUACGGGAGGCAGCAGUGAGGAAUAUUGGACAAUGGGCGCAAGCCUGAUCCAGCCAUGCCGCGUGCAGGAUGACGGUCCUAUGGAUUGUAAACUGCUUUUGUACAGGAAGAAACACUGGUUCGUGAACCAGCUUGACGGUACUGUAAGAAUAAGGAUCGGCUAACU
Molecule: ribosomal RNA, 483 nt
Filed under: Flavobacterium sp. WB4.3-64
Lineage: Bacteria; Pseudomonadati; Bacteroidota; Flavobacteriia; Flavobacteriales; Flavobacteriaceae
Description: bacterial SSU rRNA
Rfam family: Bacterial small subunit ribosomal RNA
Source: RNAcentral